RNAcentral lists this ribosomal RNA (496 nucleotides) under uncultured bacterium. RNAcentral's name for it is "bacterial SSU rRNA". It matches the Rfam family "Bacterial small subunit ribosomal RNA", at positions 29 to 520 of the family's 1533-position model. The record is from RNAcentral.
AGCGAACGUUUGCGGCGGGCUUAACACAUGCAAGUCGAACGAGAAUCCCUUCGGGGAGGAAAGUGGCGCACGGGUGCGUAACACGUGGAUAACCAACCCAUUGGUUUGGGACAACACCGGGAAACUGGUGCUAAUACCAGAUGUGUCGCAGCUGUCUUCAGGCGGUUGCGAGAAAGGCCCGCAAGGGUCGCCAACGGACGGGUCCGCGUCCCAUCAGCUAGUUGGUGAGGUAAUGGCUCACCAAGGCAAAGACGGGUAGCUGGUCUGAGAGGAUGAUCAGCCACACUGGAACUGAGACACGGUCCAGACUCCUACGGGAGGCAGCAGUGGGGAAUAUUGCGCAAUGGGCGAAAGCCUGACGCAGCCACGCCGCGUGAGCGAUGAAGGUCUUCGGAUCGUAAAGCUCUGUGGGGGGANAAGAAGAAAGCCGGUGAAGAGCCGGCCCUGACGGUAUCCCCUUAGCAAGCACGGCUGACUCCGUGCCAGCAGCCGACGG